Long non-coding RNA from Oncorhynchus kisutch (coho salmon), 1226 nucleotides. RefSeq lists it as uncharacterized. The transcript is spliced from 2 exons. The record is from RefSeq and is a predicted model, not a curated record. NCBI's taxonomy places the organism in Eukaryota, Metazoa, Chordata, Actinopteri, Salmoniformes, Salmonidae.
GAUCUUGUCUACAGAUAUUUACCUGUGUGCACACCAGUAGCGGCAUCGUUCGUUCUGGUCUGUUCUGUUUGGUGAGUUUCAAUUAAAUUAUGUGGAACUCUACGCACGCUACACCCUGGUCCAUUCUUUUCGACAAGCGUGACACUGUCAAUUCAGAGACAUUGAGUUGGAAGAAGAGACAGUUAGUGACAGUGAGUAGGAAGAAGAGGAUGAGAUGGACCCUCAGCCAGCCCCAGGACCAUCCCUUCAGCAACCAGCUCAUCAGCAGCCUGCAAGAGGAGAAAUAUGGAUCUCAAAAAUUGUGUUUUCUUGCCCAAGGAAUGAGUCACCCCGCAUUGCUGCUAAUGUGAUAAGGAUGCAACCAGGGCUGAUGCGGAUGGUGGUUAUCCAUCUGAAGGACAUUGAGUCUAAUUUUUUACUUUGCACAAGCUGGGACAGGAGCUCCUCAAGAGGAAGCUGACAAUGGUAGGAACAGUAUGAAAAACAAGCCAGCGCUCCCACUUCAGCUGUUGAAUACACAGAACAGGCCUAUCAAUCCUUCUAAGUUUGUGUUCAUGGCUAACAUGUCCCUAGUGUCCUAUGUGCCAAAGGAAGGCGAACAUGUGGUACUCAUGAGUAGGCUGCAUAGGGAUGGGAUAAUCUGUGGCCAGGAACAUCAACCUGAAAUCACAAACGGAGGGGUGGACAAUUUAGACAAGCUGGUGACUGGCUACACCAGCAAAAUAAGAACCCUACGCUACCCUACGAGAAGACUGCUCUUUCUCGAGGCAUUGGUAAGACCACAAAUCCAGAGGAGGCAACAUAUCCCAAGGACCAUAGCUUCUGCAGCCUUCGUGAGGAGGAUGCUGGUGCCCCAUCCGCCCGACACACAGAGCCAACAACUCCAAUACCGGAAAUUGCAGCCAGUAGCAACAAGAAGAAAUGCUGUGAUGUGAUGUGAUGUGAUGUGAUGUGUGUGUGUGUGUGUGUGUGGACCCAAGAAGGACAGGAAGACAGUACACAUGCAUCAAGUGCAAGAAAUACAUUUGCAACACACACAGAGUAAAACUCUGUCCCCCAUGUGGUGCGUAGACCGGCCUUAAUUUGUGUUCAAUGGGGCUCAUUGAUCAUUUCCAUAAAAUACUGCAUGUAAAAUUUGUCUUUCCAAUUUGUUCAGUUCAAGCAAUAAACAUCAAUAGUGAUAACCUUGUUUAAUUUACAUUUGUUCAAGAUAAACAUUUAUUCCA